This 202-nucleotide ribosomal RNA is filed under the name uncultured bacterium. RNAcentral's name for it is "partial 16S ribosomal RNA". It matches the Rfam family "Bacterial small subunit ribosomal RNA", at positions 335 to 527 of the family's 1533-position model. The record is from RNAcentral.
ACUCCUACGGGAGGCAGCAGUAGGGAAUCUUCCGCAAAUGGGGCGAAAGCCUGACGGAGCAACGCCGCGUGAGUGAAGAAGGUCUUCGGAUCGUAAAACUCUGUUGAUUAGGGAAGACAAAUGUGUAAGUAACUAUGCACGUCUUGACGGUACCUAAUCAGAAAGCCACGGCUAACUACGUGCCAGCAGCCGCGGUAAUACG